Carassius auratus (goldfish) is the source of this 1680-nucleotide long non-coding RNA. RefSeq lists it as uncharacterized. The record is from RefSeq and is a predicted model, not a curated record. NCBI's taxonomy places the organism in Eukaryota, Metazoa, Chordata, Actinopteri, Cypriniformes, Cyprinidae. The transcript is spliced from 3 exons.
UGCAGGGCUGGAUCAAGUGGAGGGUGAGUACAUGAUGACAGUUUUCAUUCUGGAAGAAAACCAUUCCUUUACAGAUAAAUCUGUUUCUCUACACAUCUGCAGCAUGUAUUGUGUGCUCAGAGAGUUAAUCUCAUGCACACUGUGUGUUUAGUGAGGUACUUACAACAUGAGGAUUGCCUUUUGAUUUGAUUUAUAGUUUUUUUUUUUUUUUUUUUUUAGUUGGUGAAUUACACUUAAUUAUUUGAUGUUUGUUUUGUGUGGCAUUCCUUUUUUUUUUUUAAAGAUUACCCGUUUAAUUAAUUGGCGAAUUUGACAACAUGUUUAUUUUUAUUUCACAAAUUUAAGUCAUUAUUAAAGUACUUCUAAAACACAUUGGUGUCUGUAAUGUUGUGUAUUGUGUUAAAGAUCCUGUACUCUUUAACCACCUCAGUCUUAGUAAUGCAGCAUAGGGACAUGUCUGUGUGUUGUGUAUGGGGUCACGUACCUGUAAAACACAUUGGUCCCUGUAAUCCAGAGAAUGGACAUGUUUUGUGUAUUGUAAAACGAGUGUCCUCAUAAAUCAAUCGGACCCUAUAAAUACCAAUUAUGUAAUGGGCGGGAACAUUAUAGGAGGGGCGUGACAGUCCUUGUGUACCACCAAAAUAUCAUAUUGUCAUAUUAUCAAUUCUAUUGUGUGUAAAGAAAAUCCAAAGUGAUAUUUGUGUUCUGCAGAGUACAACAAAUUUUUUGAUAGUUUUAUCAUCUCUGUAGGACACCGGGAAAGGGGUGUCCCCUUAAACCACCAUCCAACUGGUUUGGCCAUCAGAGUACUGCUAAACCACAAAAACCAGUGUCGGAAGAGCAACUGAUGACUCUGUGGCGAGUUCUGAGCAGACAGUAAGACAGUAUUGCACACAGUAAGAAACAUAUCCAAAAAGAACAAGGUGAGCAAAUACUUCUUGAUCUUUCAUCAAUGUCCACCUUCCCUCAACAUGAGCUGUAUUACUUUUAUUCUUAUAUAAAUCUGUCUUGAAUUAGGCUCAAACCUCAUGCUGUAAUAAUUCUGGGUUGAAACAGCAACUGUGAUGUUGAUUCAGGUUCACUGUGAUGAUAAAGUGACUAACCCUUCCAUCAGAGGAAAAAAAGCCGGAGUCAAGAAAACUACAGUCAACUUUAUGCCUCUGUGAACAGGAACCAUCACAAAUCAGCCAAAUUAUUAUACAAAACCACAUAUGCAGAGGAAUAUGAACCUUGUCUCCUGAUGGUUUCAUUCAGUGCCAUCAUGAUAAUAGCAAUGUCUUUUAUGUAUUAAGAAACAAGCUCUGAUUUAUUUGUAGUUAUUUGAUAUUCUUGUCAGUUUGCUUUGCUUUUCAGCAAUUAAAUUGGAUAAAAUCAUGAAAAUGUGUUGUUCAAAAGAAAAAAAAAGGAUUGUGAGAUCAGAUUAGAUCACAAAACCAGUCUUGGUUUUGAUCAGGAUCAAAUCAUCAGUGUGUGUUGUGCAAAUCAUUUUAGCAAGAUUGAGAUCCCGAUUUGGUCAUAUGAAAAAGUCUGUAUCUGGAUCAUUGUCAUCCAAUCCAAUUUUGCUUUGAAAAACCAGUAGAAUAUAACACAAUUACCUGAUCUUGCAUAUAAAAAAUAUGGGAUUUCCAAAACCGUUAACAGGCAAAGCUACAUGAUGAUAUAAGUGUUUAUCCCAAUGUG